UCUCUAACCAGCACUCCUGUGUGUCACUCAUUUAUUACAAAUGUAAUGACUAGUGAGUGUAGCAUUCAUUACUGGGCACUGUGUUACCCUCCACAUCAUCCAGUCAGUAGAGGGUUCCUCUAAUCCUCAGAGUCCAGGAAAAGGAAAGGUGUCUCGAGAGAGCUGACAGCUAGGUCUCUGAAAGCAAGCAAAGUACACGCUCUCUUCCUGACGCGAGUGUUAAUGGGAGUAACAUACAUGGACUGUGAAACAAAUAUAAGUCAGACUGUAAAUGUUGGCAGUUGAUGAGAAUUAUGAAGCAAGUCCUAGUGAGUGUUCAACGGUGCCUUUCCUUGGAUAUUUAGAGCAAAAUCUUGUCCUGUCAUUUGAAGCCAGGUGUGGACUGAGUGAAUAUGAAAUCUACAAGAAGAAAUCUACAGGAAGAAACAAACAAGGGGGUGUCCUGUAUAUGAAUAAAGACAAAGGACAUGUCUGCAGUUUCUUGGAGUGCAAUGAGUCACAAUGAAUUCUUCACUUAGAAGGCAAACCGACAGCGAGUUUGUCUCAGGAAAGGAGAAUCACAGCCAGCCUGACCGAAAAGCGCUGCAAGAAUUUUGGGUGAGCAACACUGUACA
This is a long non-coding RNA of Mauremys reevesii (Reeves's turtle), 614 nucleotides long. RefSeq lists it as uncharacterized. The record is from RefSeq and is a predicted model, not a curated record. Lineage: Eukaryota; Metazoa; Chordata; Testudines; Geoemydidae. The transcript is spliced from 3 exons.